Ciona intestinalis (vase tunicate) is the source of this 1241-nucleotide RNA transcript. It is a transcript of the gene named regulator of microtubule dynamics protein 1 pseudogene, with no coding region annotated. The record is from RefSeq and is a predicted model, not a curated record. Lineage: Eukaryota; Metazoa; Chordata; Ascidiacea; Phlebobranchia; Cionidae.
AUCAUUUUUUCAUAUUUAUCAAACGAGAGAAUUUCAGUAUGAGAGGAGGGAAGAAGUCCACGUGAAAAACUGAGAUACGUAUUACGUAUAUAUAUAAACUGGGAGAGCAGAUAAUUUGAUUUAGUUGAAAAUUCGCUUCAAUACUUUUAAAAGUUUGGUUGUUCUCAGUUAAAAUAAAAACAUGGUAGAUCAUAUCAUUGAAGAGGCUGAUAGAUUAUACAACAAAGGACAAUACAGGGAGGUGUAUGAAUAUCUGAAAAAACAUAAAACUUCACAAAACUGCAACAUACUGUCGAGGUUGGCUCAAGCUACCAGAGAUUUUGCAGUCAAAGUAAUUCACGAAAAAGAAAAAAGGAAAGAACUGAUAGAGGAGGCGUUAAACUAUGCUAAAGAAGCUUUAGGUCUUGAUGAAAAUAACUCUGAAGCUAAUAAAUGGUUUGCGAUCACCACAAAUGAUAUUGGAGACUAUGAUGGGAUAAAAGCAAAAGCCUCAAACAUGCUUAUGGUUCGCAAACACCUACAACAAGCCUUAGCCAUCAACCCAAACGAUGCAUUGGCGUUGCACCAUCUUGGUUUGUGGUGUUUCGAAUAUGCUGAUUUGGAUCUGAUGGCUCGGAAAAUAGUAGCACAAUACUUAUCACCAUCUCAAUGGCCAACCUUUGUAGAAGCUCUUAAUUACUUUAAACAAGCUGAAGAGACCAAACCCAAAUUCUACAGCGUCAACCUGAAGAUGCUGGCAAAAACCUAUCAAAGUUUGAAUGAUCGUGUUAAAGCAAAGUUCUACUAUCAAGAAACACUGAGCUACAAUGUUAUGAAUGAGGAAGAUAAAGAAGUUGUUAAAUACUGCAAGGAGCAGUUGAAAUCAUACUGAACUAUAUUUUAAUAGUUUACAAUAAUUAAUAUUCCACAAUUAUAUUCUCUUGCACUUGUGGUUUAUAUGCAUGAUUUUACAUAACUAUUAGUCGUUUAGUAUUGUUACCUGAUAGAUUGAUGUAUUAUUUCUAGAUCGUUUUUGUUGUAUAACGGUUUUUUAUGUCAUUUCCUGAAUCGUUCUGCUAAAGUGUGUUUUUAUUAUACGCACUUUUCAUGUAUACGGAUUUUGUAUAUAUUAAAAUAUAACAAACCUAAAUAAACCAGACAAAAAACAAUAAAGGGGGAAUUGAUUAGGCGAGUGUUUAACAUUAAAGACACCUGCAAACAAGUGGCAUGAUUAUUGAUUUUAAUAAAAUAGUAUACGUUGA